Psammomys obesus (fat sand rat) is the source of this 102-nucleotide small nuclear RNA. The record is from RefSeq and is a predicted model, not a curated record. NCBI's taxonomy places the organism in Eukaryota, Metazoa, Chordata, Mammalia, Rodentia, Muridae.
UGCUUGCUUCGGCAGCACAUUACUAAAAUUGGAAUGAUGCAGAGAAGAUUAGCAUGGCCCCUGCGCAAGGAUGACACAAAAAUUCGUGCAUUCCAUAUUUUU